GUAAGUCACAUUUGUGGAACCCACUGCA
This 28-nucleotide non-coding RNA is filed under the name Cricetulus griseus (Chinese hamster). Lineage: Eukaryota; Metazoa; Chordata; Mammalia; Rodentia; Cricetidae. The record is from RNAcentral.